RNAcentral lists this ribosomal RNA (489 nucleotides) under Triticum aestivum (bread wheat). RNAcentral's name for it is "partial small subunit ribosomal RNA". Lineage: Eukaryota; Viridiplantae; Streptophyta; Magnoliopsida; Poales; Poaceae. The record is from RNAcentral.
AUGCCCCUUAUCGACCAUCUAGUGCACUGCGAGCAAACAGGUUUCAUCCGGGGCCGUGGCAUCGCGGAAAAUUUCCUCCAUGCGACGGACAUUGUGCAGACUUGUUUUAAACGAUAUCUCCCAGCAAUUGUCAUCAAGCUUGACUUUCAUAAAGCUUUUGACUCGGUAUCUUGGACGGCACUAGAUGCUAUAUUACGGGCAAAAGGGUUCCCGCCGGCUUGGUGCCGAUGGGUGGACCACCUAAACAACUCUGCUUCCUCCGCAGUUCUCCUAAAUGGGAAGUCGGGCCCUUGGUUUCAGUGCCGUCAGGGCCUGCGGCAAGGUGACCCCUACUCCCCCUACCUUUUCAUCCUCGUCGCCGAUGUCCUUAAACGGCUUAUCACCCAGGCUUCCACCCAUGGCAUUCUUUCCCACCCAAUCGCGUCUGACAUCCCUUGCAUUGUUCUCCAAUAUGCCGACGAUACUCUCAUCGUCCUGCGCCGGACAUAA